This is a long non-coding RNA of Selaginella moellendorffii, 392 nucleotides long. RefSeq lists it as uncharacterized. Lineage: Eukaryota; Viridiplantae; Streptophyta; Lycopodiopsida; Selaginellales; Selaginellaceae. The record is from RefSeq and is a predicted model, not a curated record. The transcript has 2 exons.
CAGAAGACAGAGUAAGUCCAAUCUGAGCUGAUACACACAUUCCGCAGCGCUUCGUGCAGCGCCAUGACUGCCAUCACUUCCCGGCUCCUCUCCACGACACCCAUCACUCGCACCAUGGAGCGCCGAAGAAUCUCAUAGAUUUUCCUGCACGGUAAACUCUCUUCCCGUCCCUCUUUCAUCGUGCCGCAUUGUGUGUUGCGGGGAUUUCAGAGGGAGGGAGAGAGAGCGAGAGAUCAGCCAUAUUUUAUGUGUGAGAGUGUUGUGUUCAUUGUUGAUUCACACACACAUCUUUCCCCUUUUACUUCCUAGAGUAGCGAGCGCCCUUCUUCUUCUUCCUCCUCUUGUUUCUCCUUCCACAAAAACAAGUCCGCCUGGUUUCGCUGUUGGAUGAU